AACGAACGCUGGCGGCAGGCCUAACACAUGCAAGUCGAGCGAGAUCUUCGGGUCUAGCGGCGGACGGGUGCGUAACGCGUGGGAAUAUGCCCUUCUCUGCGGAAUAGCCUCGGGAAACUGAGCGUAAUACCGCAUACGCCCUUUGGGGGAAAGAUUUAUCGGUGAAGGAUGAGCCCGCGUUGGAUUAGGUAGUUGGGGGGGUAACGGCCUACCAAGGCGACGAGCCAUAGCUGGUUUGAGAGGAUGAUCAGCCACACUGGGACUGAGACACGGCCCAGACUCCUACGGGAGGCAGCAGUGGUGAAUCUUAGACAAUGGGGGCAACCCUGAUCUAGCCAUGCCGCGUGAGUGAUGAAGGCCUUAGGGUUGUAAAGCUCUUUCAGCUGGGAAGAUAAUGACGGUACCAGCAGAAGAAGCCCCGGCUAACUCCGUG
This 433-nucleotide ribosomal RNA is filed under the name uncultured bacterium. RNAcentral describes it as "partial 16S ribosomal RNA". It matches the Rfam family "Bacterial small subunit ribosomal RNA", at positions 29 to 507 of the family's 1533-position model. The record is from RNAcentral.